CUUCUGUAGAAAAGAAAGUAUAGUCUCCACUUACUAUAAUCCAUCGAAGCAUAACGAAUUUACCAUAGCUUCUUCUUUGUGUUUUCAUUUUUUUAACUCUUUUUUUUUUAAUUUUGUAAAACAUAUCUAUUAAAUUCUAUAUUAUAUUGUUCCCGUUGUUGCUAACCGUCUUUUGGGCUAAUUACAGCCGUUCAAAGUCCUGAACUUUUAAUCUCAGCCGUAUAAAGUCUCUAAAUUCCUUCUAGAAGCAGCAGUUCACGGCAGUUCAGCUCUCUCUCACCCAUGAUCUUGCGGUUUCCUGCAGUUUAUCAAGAUGCACCAAUCAGAAAUACAGGUUGCAAUGCGGUUUAAAAUGUGUUCCUUAUUUUCAGGGAGUUAGUGGGCAACACAUCUGCAGCAAUGGAUAUCUCGGAUGACUUCGUGGACAUUUAUGAAGACGAUCAGCCUGCAAAGAAACUGGGUUUUGAUGCAAUGACACCGAAGAAGAAUCAAAUAUGCAGCCCAAUGAAAGAUUCUCCGAAGACGGACAGUGGAAGUGUAGAGAUCAUUUCAUAUGGACAGUAUUUUAGUCCAUUCAAAUCUGAAAUGCAUAGGGAGGUUAUUGAA
Molecule: long non-coding RNA, 606 nt
Organism: Helianthus annuus (common sunflower)
Lineage: Eukaryota; Viridiplantae; Streptophyta; Magnoliopsida; Asterales; Asteraceae
Exons: 4
Source: RefSeq, a predicted model, not a curated record